Molecule: transfer RNA, 84 nt
Organism: Dichomitus squalens LYAD-421 SS1
Lineage: Eukaryota; Fungi; Basidiomycota; Agaricomycetes; Polyporales; Polyporaceae
Rfam family: tRNA
About the family: Transfer RNA (tRNA) molecules are approximately 80 nucleotides in length. Their secondary structure includes four short double-helical elements and three loops (D, anti-codon, and T loops). Further hydrogen bonds mediate the characteristic L-shaped molecular structure. tRNAs have two regions of fundamental functional importance: the anti-codon, which is responsible for specific mRNA codon recognition, and the 3' end, to which the tRNAs corresponding amino acid is attached (by aminoacyl-tRNA synthetases). tRNAs cope with the degeneracy of the genetic code in two manners: having more than one tRNA (with a specific anti-codon) for a particular amino acid; and 'wobble' base-pairing, i.e. permitting non-standard base-pairing at the 3rd anti-codon position.
Source: Rfam
GGCCCAAUGGUCUAGAGGUAAGAUACUUGCUUUGGGUGACGCUCUGAAUGCAAGGGAUCCCGGGUUCGAAUCCCGGUUGGGCCC